AUGCCGAGGACAUUGCCCUUGAUGGCGGUGCAGAGGCACACACCGGGGUCGAGGUCGGGGAGCCCGCCCAGCAGCGGGCAGCAGUCGUCGCUCGCCAGCACGCCUAGGUUGAGCUUUAGCAGGUUCAGUAUGUUGGUGCACACCUUCAGCUUCAGCAUGUUGAUCGAGCAGGUGCCGCUGCCGCCUUCGGUCGUCGGCAGGGUUGGGACUGGGGUGGCGGGCGGGGGCACGGCGAUCGGCGGAGUUGGCACUGGGACGGCCGGUGUAUUGCCGCAGCACGACCAGCAGCCAUGCACGGCUGCCACGAGACCAGGUUCAGGGCGAGGAAGAGGGCGAGCUUGGAUGGCGCCAUUGCUAUGUUGA
RNAcentral lists this ribosomal RNA (363 nucleotides) under Triticum aestivum (bread wheat). RNAcentral's name for it is "partial small subunit ribosomal RNA". The record is from RNAcentral. Lineage: Eukaryota; Viridiplantae; Streptophyta; Magnoliopsida; Poales; Poaceae.